CUACGGGUCGCUCCAGUCGAGAAUCUUUUGCAAUGCGGGAAACCGUGACAAUGCGACGCCGCGUGAGCGAUGAAGCCCUUCGGGGUGUAAAGCUCUGUCAGCCCGGAUGAAUAUCUUUUUCUGAAUAAGAAAGGGAGACGACGGUACGGGCAGAGGAAGCCACGGCUAACUCCGUGCCAGCAGCCGCGGUAAUACGGAGGUGGCAAGCGUUGUUCGGAUUUAUUGGGUGUAAAGGGUAUGUAGGUUUCCCGGUAAGUCGAAUGUGAAAUCCCUUGGCUCAACCAAGGAAUUGCAUUCGAAACUCCCGGGAUUGAGUAUGGAAGAGGAGAGCGGAAUUCCCGGUGUAAGGGUGAAAUCUGUAGAUAUCGGGAGGAACACCAGUGGCGAAAGCGGCUCUCUGGUCCGAUACUGACACUGAAAUACGAAAGCUAGGGGAGCAAACAGGAUUAGAUACCCGCGUAGUC
This 464-nucleotide ribosomal RNA is filed under the name uncultured bacterium. Its description in RNAcentral is "partial 16S ribosomal RNA". It matches the Rfam family "Bacterial small subunit ribosomal RNA", at positions 339 to 795 of the family's 1533-position model. The record is from RNAcentral.